Long non-coding RNA from Dermacentor andersoni, 385 nucleotides. RefSeq lists it as uncharacterized. The record is from RefSeq and is a predicted model, not a curated record. Lineage: Eukaryota; Metazoa; Arthropoda; Arachnida; Ixodida; Ixodidae.
GGAGCAAUGAGAGGGGGUUACACUACAAAUGACAGUAACGUCGUCGUGCCUCACGGAAGUGAUCGCAGCAGUUCUUUUCGAAGUUGAACGUUCGGAAUAAACUGCAGUGGGAGAAGAAAAGCCGCCUCCGCCUGCAACCAGCGUUUCGCCAGGGUACUUUUUAGAGUGAAGCUGCCUGUGGCUAGGAUCCCGGAAUUUCUUCGUGACACAAACGGACAGAAAACUAUCAUCAUCAAUAGCUCAUAUCCCCAAGUGCCAUGGCUCACACUACCGUAAGGUAAAUGUUACAGGCACUCAGCAAAGUGAACACUGCAUACAUUGUUUGGAACGACGCAUACAACGUACAGAACCGCACACGCUUCAAUAAAGAACAAGCUCAAAACAA